AUUGAACGCUAGCGGGAUGCUUUACACAUGCAAGUCGAACGGCAGCGCGGACUUCGGUCUGGCGGCGAGUGGCGAACGGGUGAGUAAUGUAUCGGAACGUGCCCAGUAGCGGGGGAUAACUACGCGAAAGCGUAGCUAAUACCGCAUACGCCCUACGGGGGAAAGCAGGGGAUCGUAAGACCUUGCACUAUUGGAGCGGCCGAUAUCGGAUUAGCUAGUUGGUGAGGUAACGGCUCACCAAGGCGACGAUCCGUAGCUGGUUUGAGAGGACGACCAGCCACACUGGGACUGAGACACGGCCCAGACUCCUACGGGAGGCAGCAGUGGGGAAUUUUGGACAAUGGGGGCAACCCUGAUCCAGCCAUCCCGCGUGUGCGAUGAAGGCCUUCGGGUUGUAAAGCACUUUUGGCAGGAAAGAAACGUCGCGGGCCAAUACCCCGUGGAACUGACGGUACCUGCAGAAUAAGCACCGGCUAACUACGUG
This 484-nucleotide ribosomal RNA is filed under the name uncultured bacterium. RNAcentral describes it as "partial 16S ribosomal RNA". It matches the Rfam family "Bacterial small subunit ribosomal RNA", at positions 30 to 507 of the family's 1533-position model. The record is from RNAcentral.